This 1023-nucleotide long non-coding RNA is filed under the name Fragaria vesca (wild strawberry). Its description in RNAcentral is "long non-coding RNA (FVES_LNC001871)". The record is from RNAcentral. Lineage: Eukaryota; Viridiplantae; Streptophyta; Magnoliopsida; Rosales; Rosaceae.
AAGAAAAAAGAAAGAAUAGAAAUUAGAGUUCUUCAUUUGUGCCCAUAACAGAAUUACUUAGCACAACAUAACCGAAUUAAAUAAAAAGCCAACUCCUCUACAUCCCAGCAACUAUUAAAACAAAUAAAAUAAAUAAAGACUAUUAUAUAUUACACGAAAACAAUAUUUGAUGUCAACAAGCAAAUCUAAACAUAUGAUGGAACUGUACUUAGCUAUAGAAUCUAAUAUUCUAGAGAGAAAAAAUAAGUUGUCCAAAAUAAAGUUAAUUUAGAAGCCAAUUCACAACUAAUAACAUAUAGAAGCUUUGACCAGCAGUCCAAUAGAAACAACCUACCAGUAGAAAGAACUUUCUUAUGUGACAAAAUCUGCUUCUUCUGGAUUUCUAUUAUUUAGGUCAUAAACUAAAUUCAGAUCCAACAGACAUCUAUCUACUCUACGAAUUUCCAGGGUACCUCUCAACUAGGUUCUGUUUUUCCAUAAACUAAUUUAUGUCUUAUGACUUAACAAUUACUAACUGCUUAUCGCCUAAGAAACGUCUGUUUAACUUGGAUCCCACAUCCGGUUUAACAUAAAUAUAUGGAAUCUACGCUUAGACUUGAACUUAGUCAGGUACAUUUGCUCAUUCAACUUGGGCCAUUGAUACAGACAAUAUUAUUUUAAGAAUGAGUCGGUGGAAUAGCUAACAAUUGCCAGAGCAUCUAGUGAGAUAUCACCAAAUAAACAGGACCUUGUAGGUGAAUUUCAGCAAGAGAUAAGUAAUGACUGAAUGCCAUAUAUUAAUAAUAUAUCUAGUCUUUAAGAGUAGACAUUAGGCAAGAAACAAAUAAGAUGGGUUUCUGUUAUUAAUUUUAUAAAAACAAAUUCAUGUAGAACUUUCCAGCUAAGAUUUCUGUUAUUAAUUUUAUAAAAACAAAUUCAUGUAGAACUUUCCAGCUAAGAUGACCACAGAACAUUAAGAUUGGUGUGAACAACCAUACCUCAGAAAGAAGCUCUGUAUCAUCCAUUGCAUGAAGAUCCAACAGC